This 484-nucleotide ribosomal RNA is filed under the name uncultured bacterium. Its description in RNAcentral is "partial 16S ribosomal RNA". It matches the Rfam family "Bacterial small subunit ribosomal RNA", at positions 29 to 507 of the family's 1533-position model. The record is from RNAcentral.
AUUGAACGCUGGCGGCAUGCUUUACACAUGCAAGUCGAACGGCAGCGCGGGCUUCGGCCUGGCGGCGAGUGGCGAACGGGUGAGUAAUGCAUCGGAACGUGCCCAGUAGUGGGGGAUAGCCCGGCGAAAGCCGGAUUAAUACCGCAUACGACCUGAGGGUGAAAGCGGGGGACCGAAAGGCCUCGCGCUAUUGGAGCGGCCGAUGUCGGAUUGGCUAGUUGGUGGGGUAAAGGCUUACCAAGGCGACGAUCCGUAGCUGGUCUGAGAGGACGACCAGCCACACUGGGACUGAGACACGGCCCAGACUCCUACGGGAGGCAGCAGUGGGGAAUUUUGGACAAUGGGGGCAAACCUGACCCAGCCAUGCCGAGUGCGGGAAGAAGGCCUUCGGGUUGUAAACCGCUUUUGUUCGGGAAGAAAUCCUCUGGGCUAAUACCCCGGGGGGAUGACGGUACCGGAAGAAUAAGCACCGGCUAACUACGCG